CUCAAGCUUGAAAUCGGCAGUUGGUUAACAUAUGCCGAGUUGUAGCUUUUGGAAGCAGUUUCAAGCAACUGGGUUGCGGUAAAAGUUCUUUUGAAUAAGACAUCAAAGAGGGUGAGAAUCCCGUCCUUGACCGUGAUUUAAGUGGCGAUGCGAACUGUUUUCUGCGAGUCGGGUUGUUUGGGAAUGCAGCCCUAAUUGGGAGGUAAAUUUCUUCCAAAGCUAAAUAUCAGUAAGAGACCGAUAGCAAACAAGUACCGUGAGGGAAAGAUGAAAAGCACUUUGAAAAGAGAGUGAAAAGUGCGUGAAAUUGUUGAAAGGGAACCGGUUGGUAGCCAAGCAUUUCUUGGCGUUAGGGCAUUUAUGUCAGAGCGUCGGGAGGGUCAACAUCGAUUGCUGUUAAUCUGCCAGAAAGGAAAUUAUGCAGGCUAGCGGAGGAAGGUAGGGAGGUGGGUUUCCGGUUCAAUUUAUUGGGACGGUAUUAUGGCCUGCCUUCUGUUAUAGCCUCCAUGGGUUUGCUUUUUUACGCCUAGUGGUGGUGGCGAGCGAGGACUGCAGCGCGUUUUGGAGGGAGACCUCUGAUGGCCUGAUUGUCUGGGAUCAUUGUAGUUGCGUUGCGGCAGACAGCAUGCUGACUGUUGCGGGUAGGCUAUAUGUUUCUGGGGAAUUCGGGACUAAGAAGCGCUUUGGAUGUUGGCGAAAAGGCACUAAUCGACCCGUCUUGAAACACGGACCAAGGAGUCCAACAUGCAUGCGAGUAUCUGGGAAAAAUAAACCCAUAUGCGCAAUGAAAGUGAACUAGUAGAAACUUUUAUUAGAAUGUAACCGGGAGCAAUCCCGGGCAGCAUCGACCGACUUUCGAUAGCGCCGCUUGAAGAGGUUGAGUAAGAGCAUGUAUGCUGGGACCCGAAAGAUGGUGAACUAUGCCUGAAUAGGGUGAAGUCAGAGGAAACUCUGAUGGAAGCUCGUAGAGAUUCUGACGUGCAAAUCGAUCUCCAAAUUUGGGUAUAGGGGCGAAAGACUAAUCGAACCAUCUAGUAGCUGGUUCCUGCCGAAGUUUCCCUCAGGAUAGCAGAGACUGGAAGUUUAAAGCAGUUUUAUGAGGUAAAGCGAAUGAUUAGAGGCCUUGGGGAUGUAACAUCCUUAACCUAUUCUCAAACUUUAAAUGCGUAAGAAGCCCCAGUUGCUUAAUUGAACUGUGUGGCGUUUUUUGAAUGCAUCAGUCUCUAGUGGGCCAUUUUUGGUAAGCAGAACUGGCGAUGCGGGAUGAACCGAACGUAGAGUUAAGGUGCCCAAAUGCACGCUCAUUUAGACACCAUAAAAGGUGUUAGUUCAUCUAGACAGCAGGACGGUGGCCAUGGAAGUCGGAAUCCGCUAAGGAGUGUGUAACAACUCACCUGCCGAAUGAACUAGCCCUGAAAAUGGAUGGCGCUCAAGCGUGCUACCGAUACUCUACCGUCAAAGUUAGGUUGAUAUAAAAAGGCUUUGACGAGUAGGCAGGCGUGGGGGUUUGUAGAGAAGCUAUGGGCGUAAGCUCUAGUGGAACAGCCUCUAGU
Molecule: ribosomal RNA, 1553 nt
Filed under: Smittium simulii
Lineage: Eukaryota; Fungi; Kickxellomycota; Harpellomycetes; Harpellales; Legeriomycetaceae
Description: LSU rRNA
Rfam family: Eukaryotic large subunit ribosomal RNA
Source: RNAcentral